This 1146-nucleotide long non-coding RNA is filed under the name Oncorhynchus kisutch (coho salmon). Its description in RNAcentral is "lncRNA (ENSOKIG00005017734.1)". Lineage: Eukaryota; Metazoa; Chordata; Actinopteri; Salmoniformes; Salmonidae. The record is from RNAcentral.
CCUCUACUGUAUAUAACCUCUCUACUGUAUAUAGCCCCUCUACUGUAUAUAGCCUUGCUGCUGUACGUAGCCUCUCUACUGUAUAGAGCCCCUCUACUGUAUAUAGCCUCUCUACUGUAUAUAGCCUCUCUACUGUAUAUAGCCUCUCUACUGUAUAUAGCCUCUCUACUGUAUAUAGCCUCUCUACUGUAUAGAGCCCCUCUACUGUAUAUAGCCCCUCUACUGUAUAUAGCCUCUCUACUGUAUAUAACCUCUCUACUGUAUAUAACCUCUCUACUGUAUAUAGCCUCGCUGCUGUACGUAGCCUCUCUACUGUAUAGAGCCUCUCUACUGUAUAUAGCCUCUCUACUGUAUAUAGCCUCUCUACUGUAUAUAGCCUCACUGUAUAGAGCCCCUCUACUGUAUAUAGCCUCUCUACUGUAUAUAACCUCUCUACUGUAUAUAACCUCUCUACUGUAUAUAGCCUCGCUGCUGUACGUAGCCUCUCUACUGUAUAUAGCCCCUCUACUGUAUAUCACCUCUCUACUGUAUAUCACCUCUCUACUGUAUAUAGCCUCUCUACUGUAUAUAGCCUCUCUACUGUAUAUAGCCUCUCUACUGUAUAUAGCCUCUCUACUGUAUAGAGCCCCUCUACUGUAUAGAGCCCCUCUACUGUAUAUCACCUCUCUACUGUAUAUCACCUCUCUACUGUAUAUCACCUCUCUACUGUAUAUCACCUCUCUACUGUAUAUCACCUCUCUACUGUAUAUAACCUCUCUACUGUAUAUAGCCUCUCUACUGUAUAUAGCCUCUCUACCGUAUAGAGCCCCUCUACCGUAUAUAACCUCUCUACCGUAUAUAGCCUCUCUACCGUAUAGAGCCCCUCUACCGUAUAGAGCCCCUCUACCGUAUAGAGCCCCUCUACCGUAUAGAGCCCCUCUACCGUAUAGAGCCCCUCUACCGUAUAGAGCCCCUCUACCGUAUAGAGCCCCUCUACCGUAUAGAGCCCCUCUACUGUAUAGAGCCCCUCUACUGUAUGUAGCCUGUCUUUUUACUGUUGUUUUAUUUCUUUACCUACCUAUUGUUCACCUAAUACCUUUUUUUUUGCACUAUUGGUUAGAGCCUGUAAGUAAGCUACACCUGUUGUAUUCGGUAAAUAAACUUUGA